UACGUAGGUGGCGAGCGUUGUCCGGAUUUACUGGGCGUAAAGGGAGCGUAGGCGGACUUUUAAGUGGGAUGUGAAAUACUCGGGCUCAACUUGAGUGCUGCAUUUCAAACUGGAAGUCUAGAGUGCAGGAGAGGAGAAUGGAAUUCCUAGUGUAGCGGUGAAAUGCGUAGAGAUUAGGAAGAACACCAGUGGCGAAGGCGAUUCUCUGGACUGUAACUGACGCUGAGGCUCGAAAGCGUGGGGAGCAAACAGG
RNAcentral lists this ribosomal RNA (253 nucleotides) under uncultured bacterium. RNAcentral's name for it is "partial 16S ribosomal RNA". It matches the Rfam family "Bacterial small subunit ribosomal RNA", at positions 524 to 776 of the family's 1533-position model. The record is from RNAcentral.